Camponotus floridanus (Florida carpenter ant) is the source of this 323-nucleotide long non-coding RNA. RefSeq lists it as uncharacterized. The record is from RefSeq and is a predicted model, not a curated record. NCBI's taxonomy places the organism in Eukaryota, Metazoa, Arthropoda, Insecta, Hymenoptera, Formicidae. The transcript has 3 exons.
UCUUCCGCAUUUGAACACGUUCCUAUACUCGCGCAGUAUGAUCUGCAUCACAAGUCAACAUUUUAGCCUCAAUCGGAUCCUGCUACUCGCAAUCGGCUUAUGGCCCUAUCAAAAAUCAAAAUUAGUUUGGCUUCAAGAAAUCUUAUUUUUUUGUAUUCUAUUAAGCUUUGUUAUAUUCCAGCUCACAGCAUUUAUAACUACAAAAUGUACUGUUGAUUUAAUUAUUAAAGUUCUCUCUACUGCAAUAGUCUUUAAUUUCUAUGUAAUUAUAUACAACAUGUUCUGGAUUAACAUUCAUCAUGUGAAAAAUUUAUUGGAACAAC